Molecule: ribosomal RNA, 2325 nt
Filed under: Triticum aestivum (bread wheat)
Lineage: Eukaryota; Viridiplantae; Streptophyta; Magnoliopsida; Poales; Poaceae
Description: partial small subunit ribosomal RNA
Source: RNAcentral
AUGGCGCAUCUGCGGCUCCACGGCACCAUCAAUGCUACCAUCCUGGGGGCCGACAACAUCCACGAUCGCUCCCGCCACACCGGCAUCGUCCCCAGCUUCCUCGGCAAUAUUGUGCAAGGUGUCCAGGAAACGACGAGUCUCGGCAAGGGCCUGUCGCGGAUGUACGCGGCCAUCUACCUCGGUAGCGCGUGCAUCGCCCGGACGCGUACCAUCGCCGUCCCUGCAGCCGGAAGCGCGCGAUGGAACGAGCCACUCCGCGCUUACUGCGCCCACCACGCCGCCGACGUCGUCAUCUCCGUCAUGAUCGAGCAGCUCGGCCUCAACGACGACACGGUCCUCGGCCGCGCCUACCUGCCCGCCCGGGAGCUCCUCAAUGCCAAUGGCACAACAAUCGACCGCUGGUUCGAUGUCCUUGGCACGGACAGGAACAAGCUCCCCGACGGGCCCAAGAUACACGUCCAGAUCAGCUUCCGCGAUGUCGCUGACCAAGGCCUGGCGUGGGGCGGCGGCGUCGGCGAUGGCGUGGUGCCCCACACCUUCUUCUCCCAGAGGCCGGGCUGCAGGGUCACCCUGUACCAGGACGCGCACGCGUCUGCGGAGUUCGACCCCAAGAUCCGGCUCGACGGCGGCGGGCUCUACAAGCCCGGGCGCUGCUGGGAAGACAUAUACGACGCCAUCAGCAACGCACGGCACCUGGUCUACAUCACCGCCUGGUCCAUGUUCCCCCACAUCACGCUGGUUCGGGAGCGGGACGGCCGGCAGGAAACCCUCGGCGAGCUCCUGAAGCGCAAGGCCGGCGAGGGCGUGCACGUGCUCCUGCUCGUGUGGAACGACAUCUCCUCCAUUGAUGGCCUGCACGAGGUCGGCGUCAUGGACACAAGGGACCAGCUCACGGCCAAGUACUUCCGCGGCAGCCGCGUGCAGUGCGUCCUCUGCCCGAGGAACUGGUCCGUCAGAGGCUACAUCUUGGACGCCAAGACGCCUGUCGACACGGUCGUUUACAGCCACCACCAGAAGGCCAUCACCGUCGACCAGGAGCUACCUGCUUCGUCGGGGUCGGACGGGCGCCGCCAGAUCGUCAGCUUCCUCGGCGGCCUCGACGUGUGCAACGGCCGCUACGACACGCAGUCCCACUCCCUGUUCAGGACGCUGGGCACGGGGCAGGCGCACAGCAACGACUUCAGCCAAAUCAACUUCAGCGACGAGGCCGCGACGCUCGACAAGGGCGGGCCCAGGACGCCAUGGCACGACAUCCACGCCAAGGUCGAGGGCGCCGCGGCGUGGGACGUGCUCCACAACUUCGAGCAGCGGUGGAGCAAACAAGGCGGCGGCAAGGAGCACCUGGUCGACCUUGUGGCCCUCGAGGGCAAGGUUGCGCCGUCCUCGUGGCCGGUGACGCUUCCCGGCGACCAGGAGGCGUGGAACGUGCAGCUGUUCCGGUCCAUCGACAGCAUCUCCACCGUCGGCUUCCCCGACUCCAUGGAGGAUGCCUAUGAGGCCGGCCUCAUCCAAGACAAGCAUCGAAUCCCCAGAGAGCUAUCGCUCAAGAUCGUGAGCAAGAUCGAGGCCGGCGAACGCUUCGCUGUGUACGUCGUGGUGCCCAUGUGGUCGGAAGGCACCCCUACUGGGCGAUACAGGCAGGCGAUGCUGGACAACCAGAGGAGGACAAUGGCCCUGAUGUACGACGACAUCGCCGUUGCGCUGCAGGCCAAGAAGAUCGACGCCGACCCCAGGGACUACCUUACCUUCUUCUGCUUAGGGAACCGGGAGGCCAAGAGCGAGGGCGAGCACCUGCCCGCGAAACACCCAAAGGACGGGACGGACUAUGCCAGGGCGCAGAAGGCACGCCGGUUCAUGAUCUACGUUCACUCCAAGAUGAUGAUAGUUGACGACGAGUACAUCGUCGUGGGAUCUGCCAACCUCAACGAGCGGUCCAUGGCGGGGGACAGGGACAGCGAGAUAGCCAUUGGCGCGUUCCAGCCACACCGUGUAAACACCGAUGCCGAGCUCGCCAAGGGGCACGUCCAUGGCUUCCGGAUGUCGCUGUGGCACGAGCACCUCGGCAAGACGCACGACGACUUCCUCCGCCCGGGGAGCCUAGAGUGCGUCCGGAGGGUCAACAAGAUGGCCGAUGAGUACUGGAACCUCUACGUCGGCGACCAGCAGCUCACGGACGACCUCCCAGGCCACCUGCUCACCUACCCCGUCGCCGUAAGCAAGGCCGGCACGGUCUCGACGCUCAAGGGCUUUGAAUUCUUCCCUGACACGAAAGCUCCCGUGCUUGGUAAGCCGACUGGAAUAAAUGACUAUUUUAUGAGCAUAUAG